CCUACGGGUGACAGCAGUGGGGAAUAUUGGGCAAUGGGCGCAAGCCUGACCCAGCAACGCCGCGUGAAGGAAGAAGGCUUUCGGGUUGUAAACCUCUUUUCUCAGGGACGAAGCAAGUGACGGUACCUGAGGAAUAAGCCACGGCUAACUACGUGCCAGCAGCCGCGGUAAUACGUAGGUGGCAAGUGUUAUCCGGAUUUACUGGGUGGAAAGGGCGUGUAGGCGGGAAAGCAAGUCAGAUGUGAAAACCAUGGGCUCAACCUGUGGCCUGCAUUUGAAACUGUUUUUCUUGAGUGCUGGAGAGGCAGGCGGAAUUCCAGGUGUAGCGGUGAAAUGCGUAGAUAUAAGGAGGAACACCAGUGGCGAAGGCGGUCUGCUGGACAGCAACUGACGCUGAGGCGCGAAAGCGUGGGGAGCAAACAGGAUUAGAUACCCCAGUAGUC
RNAcentral lists this ribosomal RNA (443 nucleotides) under uncultured bacterium. RNAcentral's name for it is "partial 16S ribosomal RNA". It matches the Rfam family "Bacterial small subunit ribosomal RNA", at positions 338 to 795 of the family's 1533-position model. The record is from RNAcentral.